This 356-nucleotide ribosomal RNA is filed under the name uncultured bacterium. Its description in RNAcentral is "partial 16S ribosomal RNA". It matches the Rfam family "Bacterial small subunit ribosomal RNA", at positions 338 to 691 of the family's 1533-position model. The record is from RNAcentral.
CCUACGGGAGGCAGCAGUGAGGAAUAUUGGUCAAUGGACGCAAGUCUGAACCAGCCAUGCCGCGUGCAGGAAGACGGCUCUAUGAGUUGUAAACUGCUUUUGUACGAGGGGAAACGCAGAUACGCGUAUCUGUCUGAAAGUAGCGUACGAAUAAGGAUCGGCUAACGCCGUGCCAGCAGCCGCGGUAAUACGGAGGAUUCAAGCGUUAUCCGGAUUGAUUGGGUUUAAAGGGUGCGUAGGCGGUCGGAUAAGUUAGAGGGGAAAUCCCUAGGCUCAACUUCGGAAUUGCCUCUGAUACUGUUCGGCUAGUGCGUAGUUGCGGUAGGCUGAAUGUCUGGUGUAGCGGUGCAAUGCUU